Molecule: transfer-messenger RNA, 388 nt
Filed under: Anaerolineae bacterium
Lineage: Bacteria; Bacillati; Chloroflexota; Anaerolineae
Rfam family: transfer-messenger RNA
About the family: Bacterial tmRNA, also known as 10Sa RNA or SsrA, is named for its dual tRNA and mRNA-like properties. Its role is to liberate the mRNA from a stalled ribosome. To accomplish this part of the tmRNA is used as a reading frame that ends in a translation stop signal.
Source: RNAcentral
GGGGGUGACACGGCAUCGAUGCGGGAGGCUGAUGUCACGUGGCAAGUCGUGGCGCCUGACCACGUUAAUACGGGCUAACACUAUUAAGUGCCAACACAAACAACACAGCUUACGCUUACGCCGCUUAAGGCGUGAAACUAAGUCGCUAGCCCAUAGAGGUUAGCCGUUUGCCCUAACCGUCUUCGUCCGGGUAGAUCGGCAGGCGUCAUAAAAGACGAGGUGCGCGUUUGCUUACGCCGAUAAGGCAGCGCAAAGAACUUUUCGGCUGGCUAGUAGGCAUACCACGUCAGACGGGGCUACCUGCGGCGAGAUUAAACAUCUGACUAAACUUGUAGAAGCGGGAUGUCGAUUUUCGUAGACUUGGGUUCAAUUCCCAACACCUCCACUC